RNAcentral lists this non-coding RNA (93 nucleotides) under unclassified sequences. The record is from RNAcentral.
UGAUUUUUGCCGCCGGGUAAAAAUGCUUUCACAAACAUUCGUAUUUCAUACCAUUAGGCCAUUGAAGGUAUGAAAAUUCGAAUGUUUUUUUAU